Molecule: long non-coding RNA, 1169 nt
Filed under: Gossypium barbadense (sea-island cotton)
Lineage: Eukaryota; Viridiplantae; Streptophyta; Magnoliopsida; Malvales; Malvaceae
Description: long non-coding RNA (GBAR_LNC019627)
Source: RNAcentral
ACAACAAUUCCCUUAGCCAAGCUUGGUAAUAACUUCAUUCAAAGCUGAUGCAGUCUCAGCAUAGUACUUUUCUGCUUCAGGGGUGCUCUUGAUCUUGGCUGCAUGGUCAAGCUACACGGAAAAAAAAUUCAUAUCAGUAUGGUAAGUUAUAAUGUUUCGUUAAAUAAUAUAAAUUAAUCUGUAAACUUCAAAACUUACUCCAUCAAUGGUAUUGAAGAGCUUUUUAGUGAGUUCAUCGAGAGAUUUCUUUUCAUCUUUGGGCCUGGAAGAAAUAACAGUUUUAAGGUCAAAGCGGAGGUACUCAGCCUUGAGACGAAGGUCAUUCAUGACAUAGGGCCAUGCUUUUUUGUCGAUCAAGGUCUUGACACCAAGGAUGUCUUUGGCUGAUUCCUUUGCCCUCUGAGCCGCUUGUGCCGGAGUCAAUGGUUGGAGGAAAAACCGAUCUUUGUACGGCAGAUCAAGGUCUCUUGGCUCAUCGGAAUUCAAAGUUCCGGCUGCCAACAACAUGGUUUGGCUAUCAAAUUAUUGAACCGUAUCACAUGCUGAUGAUUGGGUUAAUUGUACCAAAUGUCUUUUUCAGGUAAAAGUACAUGGAGUCCUCUGUAUUAGUCGGAUUGUAUUUUAUUUUUUCUACUUAAAAAAUGAGUAAAUUAGUUUCUCUACACUCAAUCAAAGAGUAAACUAGUUCUUUUGUUAAAAAUUUAAUCCAUUUUGUGUUAAAAAUUGGUCUUUAUACAUGUAACACAUUAAGUAUCCUAUUUGAUUAUUCUAUUAUUCACGUUAGUUUUUAAUAGUAUAAAUCAAUAAAAAUUUUAACAAAAAAGGCCAAUUUACUCUUGAAUCUAAUAUAUAUAGUUUAAUUUGUCCACUUUUUAGUAAAAAUUGCAAAAUGUUAUUUAACUCUUAGUAUAAGAGUUUCCAUGAUAUAAUUGCUCUUUUUCACUACCACCCAUAUUUUAAAUCCAUUUCAAACUUCAGAACAUUUUAAUUAUAUCUUCAAAGUAUUAUGAAGGUAUCAAUCAUGUCCUGAUUAGCCAAUUUAAGCUAAUAGCAUUAGCUUAGGAGUUAAAUACUAGCUGUAAUCGAAGCAAGUAAAGUGAUGAUUUGAAUGGGUAAUUGAAGAAGACUUACGCAAUCCACCGGAGGGCGGUGGAGGCGGGCCAACCUUG